GGGUGUGAGUGUUCACAGAAACCAUCCUUUGAACAUAAUAAUAAUAAAAGUGAAAUCCCUGAGUAAUAAAAAUUGCUUUAGUGAACAAUGAAACUGUGGAGGAUAAUAAAAAAUUGCUUUAAUGAAUAAUGCAGCUUUUUUUUUCUCCCUCCCCAACCUGUUGCCAGAAAUAAAUUCCAAACUAGGAGCUGCUUUCUACACAGAUCAUAAAUACUCAGUAUUUUCUUCAGAGACUGGCCUAAACACUGAACCAAGCUCCAAAAUGAGACACUGGAAAGCUUCAGCAGAGAGGCCCAGUCCUGCAAUUUUAGCCCUCUGGCCUCCAAUGGAAGUUUUACCUGGAUAAGUGGAAUAAAAACAGGACCAUAGGUAUCUACUUUAUGAGCAGAGAAUAGCAGGAGGAAAAUGAAGUAUAACUGAGACAAGCACAAAAACCACUAAUGGCUAUAGAUUCCAUGCCAUCAGAAAAAAAAUAUAGGGAGCAGUUUUCCACAGGAACAUCUCGACAGCAGUGGCCAGUAAUGAAAUCGGAAUACAGCAAGGAACAUCCAGAACUCAACACACCAAUGAAGAUGCCUGAUUAUCACUGGCAGACGAGCAAUGAUCUCCAAAUAAAGGGGUGUCUCAAAUCCAGCAAGGGAAAAGAUGUUAAUAAACACUUUGUUGGGCCCAAGACCCCCUUAUUAAAAUGACACUACCCAACCCCCACAACAAGUGAAAUUCAUUCCUGGGAAGGCCAAAGGAGGUUGAUUUGACAAGUUUAUGCCUGAGCUUCCCAGUGCAAAAUCAGUGGUUUCACUCUCAGGGUCAGCGUUGAAGGGUAUUUCCUGUGACACCUGGGAAACAUAGAGGAAAACGAGCCUGUGCACUCCACUUUUGUGGCUCUAUGUAUGUAUUAUUACAUUUAU
RNAcentral lists this long non-coding RNA (908 nucleotides) under Chrysemys picta bellii (western painted turtle). RNAcentral's name for it is "lncRNA (ENSCPBG00000019427.1)". The record is from RNAcentral. Lineage: Eukaryota; Metazoa; Chordata; Testudines; Emydidae.